UUGCAACUGAAAAAGAGGUUGCAGGGUGGCCGGAGGCUGGAAAGGGCCUCCCGUGGGUCUGUUCCCACCAAACACUAUUGAAUCCAGAGAAUCAACUAACCUGGAGCACAAGUCCAGUUACGCGACUCUGCAUUCAAGGACUCCGACUUGCUUUCUUGGUGACACAGGGUGAACGUCCUCAGCUGUGGCAAAAAUGGGACCAGCUUUUAUCGGUGACAAAAUGCAGCCCCGGAGAACGAAAUCAUGUUGCUGACCUUGUGCAGAUGAUCAGUGGCAGGACGAGGCCCAGAAAUCCAACACAAAUAAUUAAAGCAACAGUCCUUCAUAAGUAUUUAUUUCAUGCGGACACUGCUGUCUAUUCCAUCACUGAGAUUUUACAGUCAGACCACCUCGCAGGUGCUGCUGUUACCACCGUCUUUCAGAGGAAGAAACGGAUGUGGAGUCGCUUCUGAGCUGGAAAGGGGAGGAGGAGAAAGUGGGACUGUGGCUGCCCUGUCCCCUGGGAGGCCCUUACUGUGUGCCCGGCAUCCGCAGCAGCGUGUCCAGGACGCUGCCCGGUUUCCCCUGCACGCCUUCAGGUCAGGCUCCCUCAAGCUGCUGACGUGCACAAAUGAGAGGUUUGCAGUGACAAGAGAGGAAGAAAAGGCCAUUAUUAACAGAGGCUGCCAAUUUUGUGCAAGGAAUAAAAGCUGAUCACAUUA
This is a long non-coding RNA of Suricata suricatta (meerkat), 701 nucleotides long. RefSeq lists it as uncharacterized. The transcript is spliced from 4 exons. The record is from RefSeq and is a predicted model, not a curated record. NCBI's taxonomy places the organism in Eukaryota, Metazoa, Chordata, Mammalia, Carnivora, Herpestidae.